RNAcentral lists this small nucleolar RNA (168 nucleotides) under Mola mola (ocean sunfish). RNAcentral describes it as "Small nucleolar RNA SNORD97 (ENSMMOG00000009010.1)". It matches the Rfam family "Small nucleolar RNA SNORD97". Lineage: Eukaryota; Metazoa; Chordata; Actinopteri; Tetraodontiformes; Molidae. The record is from Rfam by way of RNAcentral.
AUGCCCAGUGAUUAUAAAAAGACGCGUUAUUCUGAGGAACACAACUUGCUGCCAGUCUUUCCUCUACCCUGUCCUUCCUCCAUCCAUCCUCACCUUCCUCCUCCUCCUCUUACUUUUCUUCUAACUGGUAGCUUGUCCGCUGACUGCGAUUAUGAGAUAUGAGGGCGU